AUCAGGCGGCCCCGGUGGCCGAAUGGGUAAUGCGGCCACCUGGUAGCGCCUUGGCGUGGGGACCCAAGGCGCGUGGGUUCGAAACCCGCAGGGGACAACAUUACAUCCGGAGCCAACUUCUCAGCUCCUAAAAUAAUGGGAUGUGAACCUGCCAAGUAGGUACCUUCAGGCGGACCUACUACUUGAUUUAGCUGAUUUUUCCUGGGCUAGAAACCUGUAGUGCAUGUACCAAAUCCUGUCUUUCAUUAAUUUUCCUAUGUUCCUGUUAUAUUCUUGGCGUCGUUCAACACUAAGCAUUCCUCCUGUAUAACCAACUCUUGCUUGUAUUUAACAUCACACAAGGACUCGUCAUAAGCAUUGCUUGCAUACGAGUAUAACGGAAGAAUAAUAAUAAUAAUAAUAUAAUAUCAGGCGUGCAUAACAACAGACCACUCAAACAAGGUUGAGAGUGAU
This 453-nucleotide small RNA is filed under the name Histoplasma capsulatum var. duboisii H88. RNAcentral describes it as "Histoplasma capsulatum H88 hypothetical RNA". The record is from RNAcentral. Lineage: Eukaryota; Fungi; Ascomycota; Eurotiomycetes; Onygenales; Ajellomycetaceae.